AGAGUUUGAUCCUGGCUCAGAUUGAACGCUGGCGGCGUGCCUAACACAUGCAAGUCGAGCGGUAACGCGGGAGCAAUCCUGGCGACGAGCGGCGAACGGGUGAGUAAUGCUUCGGAAUCUUCCCAGUUGUGGGGAAUAACUAGCCGAAAGGUUAGCUAAUACCGCAUACGUCCUACGGGAGAAAGCAGGGGAUCGCAAGACCUUGCGCUAUUGGAUGAGCCGAAGUCGGAUUAGCUAGUUGGUGAGGUAACGGCUCACCAAGGCGACAAUCCGUAGCUGGUCUGAGAGGACGACCAGCCACACUGGGACUGAGACACGGCCCAGACUCCUACGGGAGGCAGCAGUGGGGAAUAUUGGACAAUGGGGGAAACCCUGAUCCAGCGACGCCGCGUGUGUGAAGAAGGCCUGCGGGUUGUAAAGCACUUUUAGUGGGGAUGAAAAGCUCAGGGCUAAUACCUCUGGGUCUUGACCUAACCCACAGAAAAAGCACCGGCUAACUCUGUGCCAGCAGCCGCGGUAAUACAGAGGGUGCGAGCGUUAAUCGGAAUUACUGGGCGUAAAGCGUGCGUAGACGGUUAUGUAAGUCAGGUGUGAAAGCCCCGGGCUCAACCUGGGAAUUGCAUUUGAGACUGCAUAGCUAGGGUGCGGAAGAGGGAAGCGGAAUUUCCGGUAGCGGUGAAAUGCGUAGAUAUCGGAAGGAACACCAGUGGCGAAAGCGGCUUCCUGGUCCAGCACCGACGUUCAGGCACGAAAGCGUGGGGAGCAAACAGGAUUAGAUACCCCAGUAGUCC
RNAcentral lists this ribosomal RNA (791 nucleotides) under uncultured bacterium. RNAcentral's name for it is "bacterial SSU rRNA". It matches the Rfam family "Bacterial small subunit ribosomal RNA", at positions 8 to 796 of the family's 1533-position model. The record is from RNAcentral.